Small nucleolar RNA from Zingiber officinale, 211 nucleotides. RefSeq annotates it as small nucleolar RNA U3. The transcript has a single exon. The record is from RefSeq and is a predicted model, not a curated record. Lineage: Eukaryota; Viridiplantae; Streptophyta; Magnoliopsida; Zingiberales; Zingiberaceae.
ACGACCUUACUUGAACAGGAUCUGUUCUAUAGGAUCGUACAACUGUAUCCCUGAGUGUAAAGGAGACAGGCAACCACUCUGGUUGAUGACGUAAGAUCUCGAGAUCAGAGCAUGAUUAACGGUUCUGGUCCCUUGGGAUUCCAAGCUGUAGAGGAGUGUUCCUAGCAGAUCAAUGAUCUACUGGGGUGGUCAUGAGAUUGUCUGACAGACA